GCCUGUGUAGCUCAGUGGUUAGAGUAUUGGGUUGCCUACCAAAGGGUGGCGGGUUCCAUUUCCAUCAAUGGCA
Molecule: non-coding RNA, 73 nt
Organism: Myotis brandtii (Brandt's bat)
Lineage: Eukaryota; Metazoa; Chordata; Mammalia; Chiroptera; Vespertilionidae
Source: Rfam